GAUGAACGCUGGCGGCGUGCUUAACACAUGCAAGUCGAACGAAGAUGCCGGAGUGCUUGCACUUUGGCAGACUGAGUGGCGGACGGGUGAGUAACGCGUGGGUAACCUGCCUUAUACAGGGGGAUAACAGUUGGAAACGACUGCUAAUACCGCAUAAGCGCACGGUAUCGCAUGAUACAGUGUGAAAAACUCCGGUGGUAUAAGAUGGACCCGCGUCUGAUUAGCUAGUUGGUGAGGUAACGGCCCACCAAGGCGACGAUCAGUAGCCGGCCUGAGAGGGUGAACGGCCACAUUGGGACUGAGACACGGCCCAAACUCCUACGGGGAGGCAGCAGUGGGGAAUAUUGCACAAUGGGGGAAACCCUGAUGCAGCGACGCCGCGUGAGUGAUGAAGUAUUUCGGUAUGUAAAACUCUAUCAGCAGGGAAGAUAAUGACGGUACCUGACUAAGAGCACCGGCUAAAUACGUG
This 469-nucleotide ribosomal RNA is filed under the name uncultured bacterium. Its description in RNAcentral is "bacterial SSU rRNA". It matches the Rfam family "Bacterial small subunit ribosomal RNA", at positions 28 to 507 of the family's 1533-position model. The record is from RNAcentral.